AUGGCCGGCCCCGAGCAGCGCGUCGUCGCCGUCAUCAUGGUCGGCAGCCCCACCAAAGGGACGCGGUUCCGGCCGCUGUCGCUCAACGUGCCCAAGCCGCUCUUCCCGCUCGCCGGCCAGCCCAUGGUGCACCACCACAUCUCCGCGUGCCGCCGCAUCCCCAACCUGGCGCAGAUAUACCUCAUCGGCUUCUACGAGGAGCGGGAGUUCGCGCUCUACGUCUCCUCCAUCUCCAACGAGCUCAGGAUCCCUGUCAGGUAUCUGAGGGAGGAUAAGCCGCGCGGGUCGGCUGGAGGGCUCUACAGCUUCAGGGACUACAUCAUGGAGGACAGUCCGGCACACAUUGUUUUGCUGAACUGUGACGUCUGUUCUAGCUUCCCCUUGCCAGACAUGCUCGAGGCCCAUAAAAAGUAUGGAGGCAUGGGCACUUUGCUAGUCAAUAAGGUAUCUGCGGAGUCAGCCAACCAAUUUGGCGAGCUAGUAGCUGAUCCUGAAACAAAUGAACUGUUACACUAUACGGAAAAACCAGAGACUUUUGUGAGUGAUCUCAUAAAUUGCGGAGUCUAUAUAUUUACACCCAAGAUAUUAAUUGCUAUCGAGGAUGUCCUAAAACAGAAGAAAGACAGAGCUAAUUUGCGCCGUGUAUCCAGCUUUGAAGCUCUUCAAUCAGCAACGAAGGCAAUUCCGGCAGAUUAUGUUAGGUUAGAUCAAGAUAUCUUAUCUCCUCUAGCAGGAAAGAAGGAACUUUACACAUACCAGACACUUGAUUUUUGGGAACAGAUCAAGACCCCAGGGAUGUCUUUGAGAUGCUCUGGCCUAUAUCUCUCCCAGUUCCGCCAUACCUCUCCUCAUCUUUUAGCCUCUGGAGAUGGCAAAAAGGGUGCCACUAUUGUAGGUGACGUGUACAUCCAUCCAUCUGCGAAGGUGCAUCUAACUGCAAAGAUUGGUCCCAAUGUUUCGAUAUCAGCAAAUGCACGCAUUGGAGCAGGUGCCAGGCUUAUCAGUUGCAUCAUUCUGGAUGAUGUCGAAAUUAUGGAGAAUGCAGUUGUCAUACAUUCAAUAGUAGGGUGGAAGUCAACAGUAGGGAAAUGGUCACGUGUACAGGGUGAAGGGGACCACAAUGCCAAACUUGGUAUCACCAUUCUUGGUGAAGCCGUUGAUGUUGAAGAUGAAGUAGUUGUAACUAACAGUAUCGUGCUCCCAAAUAAAACUCUCAAUGCCAGUGUGCAAGAUGAGAUCAUCCUAUAA
Molecule: ribosomal RNA, 1248 nt
Filed under: Triticum aestivum (bread wheat)
Lineage: Eukaryota; Viridiplantae; Streptophyta; Magnoliopsida; Poales; Poaceae
Description: partial small subunit ribosomal RNA
Source: RNAcentral